RNAcentral lists this non-coding RNA (99 nucleotides) under Vibrio sp. Its description in RNAcentral is "TPP sequence". It matches the Rfam family "TPP riboswitch aptamer (THI element)". Rfam says of the family: Vitamin B(1) in its active form thiamin pyrophosphate (TPP) is an essential coenzyme that is synthesised by coupling of pyrimidine and thiazole moieties in bacteria. The previously detected thiamin-regulatory element, thi box was extended, resulting in a new, highly conserved RNA secondary structure, the THI element, which is widely distributed in eubacteria and also occurs in some archaea. Analysis of operon structures identified a large number of new candidate thiamin-regulated genes, mostly transporters, in various prokaryotic organisms. RNAcentral also lists the same sequence under 1 other name. Lineage: Bacteria; Pseudomonadati; Pseudomonadota; Gammaproteobacteria; Vibrionales; Vibrionaceae. The record is from RNAcentral.
UGAUACUUGUCGGAGUGCCUUUAGGCUGAGACCGUUCAUUCGGGAUCCGUUGAACCUGAUCUGGUUAAUACCAGCGAAGGGAACAAGAGAAAGCGUUCA